Bos taurus (domestic cattle) is the source of this 73-nucleotide non-coding RNA. NCBI's taxonomy places the organism in Eukaryota, Metazoa, Chordata, Mammalia, Artiodactyla, Bovidae. The record is from Rfam.
UCUCUGGUGGUCCGGUGGCUAAGACUCUGCGCUAUCAAUGCAGGGGGCCUGGGGUCGAUUCCUGGUCAGGGAA